Long non-coding RNA from Orbicella faveolata, 676 nucleotides. RefSeq lists it as uncharacterized. The record is from RefSeq and is a predicted model, not a curated record. Lineage: Eukaryota; Metazoa; Cnidaria; Anthozoa; Scleractinia; Merulinidae.
CAAUGAAUUGCUGCCCAUUUAGGGUCAAAAUGAUUCGUCCAUGAUGUUUUCCUAAAGCUUCCUGAAGCUACACAACCGGUGCUAAAGUUGGACACUUAUUUAAUGUCCAAGAAAUUUGUUUUUCAGCCAAUUACAUAAAUAACGGAGAUACCACAGGAGUUCCGUCAAAAUAAACCACUCAUAUUUCUGACUAGAUCUGUCGAUCAGCCUCGCCUUGAAUGUAACGUGUAGCUGGAAAACAAAAGACUAUUACAAGAUCCAAAGAACUAUCACCGCUAGAAAAGAUGCCACAGAAACUACGGAGUAUAACGAUCAUAGCAAUGAUAUUUUGCACACUUGUACCGUUCAUUAACGCGCUCCCACAGCCUCCAAUGACAGAAUUCAAUAACUGCUUGAUAAAAUGCCGAACUUGCCUUCUCCAUUGUUCCUUUCAAGAAGAAGUUCGACCAGACGACAUGCCCAACUGCCUUGAAGACCUACGUGCCUGUCAACAAGGUUGCAGAUUGAAUCCGUCUACAGACAAACCAUGCCGCCAGUAACAAUGAAAAUAAUAUGUGUAUAUAUAGUAAUAAUAAUUGGGUCAGGAAGUGUAUUCUGGUGUGAAAAAGUAAUAGUAUUUAAUAAGCUGUAUUUAGGUAACUGGUUAAGUAGAAAUAAUAAACAAAUCACCUAGCAA